UUCUUUUCAAAAGAUAAAGCCUAAUUUCCCUCCUCAUGUCUGAAAUUCCCAUCCCCAGGAGCAUGAGUGGAAUUUAAUGGCUUGUCUCUAAUGAACAGAAUAAGGCAGAAGUGGUGGUCUCUGACUAGGUCAUAAAAGGGAUUGAGGCUUCCUCUUUGCUCUCACUUGGAUCACAGCCAGCUGCUCUGUCAUGAUGACACUUAAGCAGCUCAAUGGAGAGGCUACCUGGUGAGGAAUGAGGCCACCUUCCAACAGCCAGCAAGGAACUGCCACUUUCUGACAACAGCCAUGUGAGUCAUCGUGGAAGCUGAUCUUCCUGCUCCAGUCAAGCCUUUCAGAUGACUGCAGCACUGGCUAAUAUAUUGACUACAACUUCAUAAGAGACCCUGAGCCAGAACUCAAAGUUCUGACCCACGAAAACUAUGAGAUCUUGUUUGGAAUUCUGACUCAAACCAACUGGUAAGGAAGAAAUGUUUGCGACAUUCUAGGAAAUUGAACAGACUGGAUAUUUGAUAUUAAUAAAUACUACUAUUUAGCUGUAAUAAAAGUGUUUUGAUAACAUUCUUUUGAAAAUAGAGGGACCUUAACUUUCUUUUUUUUUUUUUUUUGAGACG
This 614-nucleotide long non-coding RNA is filed under the name Homo sapiens (human). RNAcentral's name for it is "HSALNT0292158". The record is from RNAcentral. Lineage: Eukaryota; Metazoa; Chordata; Mammalia; Primates; Hominidae.